CCUACGGGUGGCUGCAGUGGGGAAUAUUGGACAAUGGGCGGAAGCCUGAUCCAGCCAUGCCGCGUGUGUGAAGAAGGCCUUUUGGUUGUAAAGCACUUUAAGCGAGGAGGAGGCUCUUAAGGUUAAUACCCUUGAUGAGUGGACGUUACUCGCAGAAUAAGCACCGGCUAACUCUGUGCCAGCAGCCGCGGUAAUACAGAGGGUGCGAGCGUUAAUCGGAUUUACUGGGCGUAAAGCGUGCGUAGGCGGCUGAUUAAGUCGGAUGUGAAAUCCCU
This 275-nucleotide ribosomal RNA is filed under the name uncultured Acinetobacter sp. RNAcentral's name for it is "partial 16S ribosomal RNA". It matches the Rfam family "Bacterial small subunit ribosomal RNA", at positions 338 to 604 of the family's 1533-position model. The record is from RNAcentral. Lineage: Bacteria; Pseudomonadati; Pseudomonadota; Gammaproteobacteria; Moraxellales; Moraxellaceae.